UUUCCGUAGGUGAACCUGCGGAAGGAUCAUUACUGAGUGAGGGCCCCUCGGGGUCCAACCUCCCACCCGUGUUUAACGAACCUUGUUGCUUCGGCGGGCCCGCCUCACGGCCGCCGGGGGGCAUCUGCCCCGGGCCCGCGCCCGCCGAAGCCACCUGUGAACGCUGUCUGAAGUAUGCAGUCUGAGACAAUUAUUAAAUUAAUUAAAACUUUCAACAACGGAUCUCUUGGUUCCG
RNAcentral lists this unclassified non-coding RNA (235 nucleotides) under plant metagenome. Its description in RNAcentral is "partial contains small subunit ribosomal RNA, internal transcribed spacer 1, and 5.8S ribosomal RNA". The record is from RNAcentral.